This 497-nucleotide ribosomal RNA is filed under the name uncultured bacterium. Its description in RNAcentral is "partial 16S ribosomal RNA". It matches the Rfam family "Bacterial small subunit ribosomal RNA", at positions 28 to 507 of the family's 1533-position model. The record is from RNAcentral.
GCUGACAGCUCUCUUCCUUCCUAAUACAUGCAAGUCGAGCGGACGCAGGACUAGAUCGCUACUCUGACUUGCGACCGGCACGCGUGUGCAAAACACGUAUGACCUUUACCCUUGACUGGGGUAAAUCCGGGGGAAAGCCGCAAUUAUCGCCCGAUAUUUUGUACAGUAUCAUCCCUAUGUUAAUAAAGCUCUUGCUGUUCCUGAUUGACGUACGCGCGCUGCAUUAGCUAGUUGGUAAGGUAACGGCUUACCAAGGCAAUGAUGCAUAGCCGACCUGGGAGGGUGAUCGGCCACACUGGAACUGAGACACGGUCCAGACUCCUACGGGAGGCAGCAGUAGGGAAUCUUCCGCAAUGGGCGAAAGCCUGACGGAGCAACGCCGCGUGAGUGAUGAAGGUCUUCGGAUCGUAAAACUCUGUUAUUAGGGAAGAACAUAUGUGUAAGUAACUGUGCACAUCUUGACGGUACCUAAUCAGAAAGCCACGGCUAACUACGUG